CGUCAAAUCAUCAUGCCCCUUAUGACCAGGGCUACACACGUGCUACAAUGGCGUAAACAAAGAGAAGCGAAGCUGUGAGGUGGAGCGAAUCUCAGAAAAUACGUCUCAGUUCGGAUUGUAGUCUGCAACUCGACUACAUGAAGCUGGAAUCGCUAGUAAUCGCAAAUCAGAAUGUUGCGGUGAAUACGUUCCCGGGUCUU
RNAcentral lists this ribosomal RNA (200 nucleotides) under uncultured prokaryote. RNAcentral's name for it is "partial 16S ribosomal RNA". It matches the Rfam family "Bacterial small subunit ribosomal RNA", at positions 1183 to 1382 of the family's 1533-position model. The record is from RNAcentral.